RNAcentral lists this ribosomal RNA (202 nucleotides) under uncultured bacterium. RNAcentral's name for it is "partial 16S ribosomal RNA". It matches the Rfam family "Bacterial small subunit ribosomal RNA", at positions 328 to 538 of the family's 1533-position model. The record is from RNAcentral.
ACGCUCGACACCUACUGGAGGCAGCAGUUGGGAAUAUUGGACAAUGGAGGAAACUCUGAUCCAGUGACGCCGCGUGAAGGAAGAAGGUCUUCGGAUUGUAAACUUAUUUUGUCAGGGAAGAAAAAAUGACUGUACCUGAAGAAAAAGCACCGGCUAACUACGUGCCAACAGCCGCGGUAAUCUGAGCGGGCGUGGCAAGGCG